This is a long non-coding RNA of Bombus huntii, 619 nucleotides long. RefSeq lists it as uncharacterized. Lineage: Eukaryota; Metazoa; Arthropoda; Insecta; Hymenoptera; Apidae. The transcript is spliced from 5 exons. The record is from RefSeq and is a predicted model, not a curated record.
AAUACAUGGCGUUACAUUAACUCCACUGCCACUCUAUACUAUGUCAUUUAUAUUACGUGACAUGAGUUACGUUCUAUAUGAUGUAAAUUAAUUACAGUCAAAUAUUUUUUUAGCAAAAAGAUUUGCAUGGUAUUUUCUUUUAAGAAAAGGUUGAGUAGUUCGCAUUGGUUGCGUUUCUGGUAUCCUUUCUGAAAGUCUUGACAAAAUACUUGGUUUCCUUUUAUCAUCCCUUUUCACACGAAGAGAGAUUGUGUCUGCAUUUGAGGAUUUCCUAUAUUUGUCAUAUUUGAUAGAUUUGGCAUUUGCAUUUGUGGAGGAGGCAUUCUUGGCAUACUUGGUGGACCAGGUCUCAACAUCCUCGGCAUUCCUGGUGGUGGGCCUAUAAUCACAAACAAAGAGGUAAUCGAAGUCCAAUACGGGGCGGUGGGGGCGGUGGCAUCCUUAAAUGUAAAGGUGGUGGUGGAGGUCUAUACAUUAAAGGAGGCGGCGGCAAUCCCAUAGGUGGCAUUGUGUAUUUAUUAUUAGACUUUGAAUUAGAUUCAUUUUCUGCUUCCAGUAGUGACAAUCGAGCAUUUAAAUCUUGAGCUCGUUCAGUUUCACGCUUUUUAUGAACAACUUC